Molecule: long non-coding RNA, 1720 nt
Organism: Aegilops tauschii subsp. strangulata
Lineage: Eukaryota; Viridiplantae; Streptophyta; Magnoliopsida; Poales; Poaceae
Source: RefSeq, a predicted model, not a curated record
CCACCGCGCUCGCCUCCACCCCCCUCGACCCCUCCCUGCCGCUCCACCUCUCGCCGCCGAGCCCCCUCCCGGUCCCGGGGCUCCCCUCCGCGCACGCCUCCUCCCCCAAGGCGCUCUUCCGCCUCCUGCGCCGCGCGCGGCACCACCCGCGCCUACCGCCGCUCGACCUCCAACUUCAACUCGCGGCAACCGACGCCUCCUCUGCCUUCCGCGCCGACCACCGCCUCAGGAGCCUCCUCAGGCAGGACCAUUGUCCCGGCUCCCCUCUUCGUUCGGCCCGGCGGACAGGCUCCCGUCAGACGCCUCUUCGGCAGGACCGGUGGCCCGGCUCUCAUCUGCAUUCGGCACGGCGGCCGAGACCUCAUUUUACGGCCCUCCGGCAGGACCCCGUUUGCAGGAAACCAUCCGGCUGAUGUCCAGUCUGAUUCCACUGCCAAUUGUGAAGCAAGGAAGCUCCUGAUGACAAGUCGAUGAGAAACCAUUGGAUAGGUUUAGUAUCUUAUUGGAAUUGCUGAUUUUCUUGAUAUAACAUGCACAUAUGCAUGGGUAUGGUACUGCUAUCGCGCAGACUAUGGAGAACAGUCCAUGAUUCAGGUUGACUUAUUCAUGAACGAUUUUUUCCCGGUUUAUACCAGUUGCGAGCACCAUCGAUACACACCUAUCCAGCCAGACGGGCAAUGCUCAGUUGUGUUUUCAUAUAAGUAUUUUCCCUGCUAUGAUCAAAUACUAACGCUGGUGGAAGUUGUGAGAUUUCCUCGCAGUGUGCAAGAUGAACCUCUCUAUCAGUGGCGGCAAUGUUCCCGUCAGCAAGGUACAUGGGAUCCCAUAAGGCAUGAUUCUUUCCCUAUUUUCUUUUACAUUAUCAAAUCUAAAUGUCACUUGACCUUGAAUCAGUAAUUAACUAUCCAUCACAUAUUAGGAUUGAAGUAUCUGUUCUGCUAUAAUUCAUUCAGAUAUGUGUACUGGCUUUUGUUUCAGAGAAGUUUUGCUCUACUUCCACCAGCAGUCCAUUGGUGGAUCUCUUUGUGGCUAUUAUCUAUCAGCCUGCCAAUAUUGUAUUUGUUUAGCAAUUGUAGACUGCAGGAUGGGUGAAGCAGAAGCUUAAUUAAGUUGAGGAAUGGCAUCCAAGAUUUACCCCCUUCACGGUCAGAGCCCUUCACAUACAACUUGGGGUGUCAGCUCUGUUUACUGGUAUUGAAGUAGUCUGCCUUUGUUGACAUAGCUGGAGAGCAUGAAUGCAGAAGUGGAGAAAGUUUAAGCUGAUACAGGAGUCCUAAAAAAGAUUCUAGAAGUAACUGUUUUGACUUUCGUCAUAAUUCUAGCAGAUGAACCCCUAUUGUACUAUGUGUUUCUAUCCAACCCGUAAGUAGUACGCAUGGACACACCUAAAAUGAAAUUUGGCUUUAUGCCAAAUGAAACAAAUCACCUUGGGUCUGGAAGAUACCUGUACUUGAUGCUCAUGUGUGAUAUUUGUUGUCUCAUGAGAUACUUGGUUAUUUGUAAUUACCAAAUAUCACUGGUGAUGGGUCAUGUAGUCUAGGCCUUGAUAGAAAAUGAUCUGUGAUCGUUUUGCAUAACAGUGAUUUUUUUUUAUCAUUUAUGGUUAUAUGUAGAUCAUAUAGGGUAAGGUUCUCGGAAGUAUGUGUACAGUUAGCAGCUUAUGUGUGAUCACCUACCAAAUUUCUGGUAAAUAAUAAAUGGAAUCGAUAAUAUUAUAUCA